RNAcentral lists this ribosomal RNA (406 nucleotides) under uncultured bacterium. Its description in RNAcentral is "partial 16S ribosomal RNA". It matches the Rfam family "Bacterial small subunit ribosomal RNA", at positions 29 to 526 of the family's 1533-position model. The record is from RNAcentral.
AUUGAACGCUGGCGGCAGGCCUAACACAUGCAAGUCGAGCGAGCGGCGGACGGGUGAGUAAUGUCUGGGAAACUGCCUGAUGGAGGGGGAUAACUACUGGAAACGGUAGCUAAUACCGCAUACCAUCGGAUGUGCCCAGAUGGGAUUAGCUAGUAGGUGGGGUAAAGGCUCACCUAGGCGACGAGCCCUAGCUGGUCUGAGAGGAUGACCAGCAACACGGGGACUGAGACACGGUCCAGACGCCUACGGGAGGCAGCAGUGGGGAAUAUGGCACAAUGGGCGCAAGCCUGAUGCAGCCAUGCCGCGUGUAUGAAGAAGGCCGUCGGGUUGUAAAGUACUUUCAGCGGGGAGGCGUUACCCGCAGAAGAAGCACCGGCUAACUCCGUGCCAGCAGCCGCGGUAAUAC